Molecule: long non-coding RNA, 3206 nt
Organism: Xiphophorus hellerii (green swordtail)
Lineage: Eukaryota; Metazoa; Chordata; Actinopteri; Cyprinodontiformes; Poeciliidae
Exons: 2
Source: RefSeq, a predicted model, not a curated record
ACUACUGACCUUGCAAGAGAACUCUCCUGCAGUGGAGUUGUUGUGAGCAACUGUGGGGAUAUAAAAGAUUGCCGACAGCAGACAAAAGGGAAAAAAAAGAAAAAUCCUGCGCAUAAAAGCGGGACUGAUAAGCUGUGCAGGUUGGCGAUAAGAAACAAAGGCAGUACGUGCCGAAACGCGCCGUGACCGGACCGAUAAAGGCCGCCGAUAACAGACGCAGGGCUGAAGGUGGCGAAACACAAGCAUCUGCAACGGCGCAACAGGAAGAAAGAAGCUAUGGAGAACGCCGCAGACGCAGGGUGAAGAUGGAGGGCUCCAUGUGUCUUCUACAGUUGCACCUCCUUUAUCCACGUACACCGACUCUGCUAUGCUGUUGAACACAUGGGGGCAUGGAAAUGGCACGUUCGUUCCUUAUCCCUUCCUCACUCUUACGCAAUAAAAUAAGAGAAAACAUCACAAACCAGAAGUUUUAUUCCCGUCAAACAAAAAGAAACUGAUGAACACUGCUGACUUAACAAAAAAUAUAUCCAGGUGAUCAUUUAUUAUGAAUUUGUCCUGCUCUGUUUUGGUUUUGAACUAGUGUAUACAACCUCUGGAGAUGACAAUACAAAGAAUUAUUCUUCAUAAAAACAAGAAAAUUACAGACAACCUUUAGUAUCUUCUUCAUGAGACUGCUAUACAACAACAGAGUGUCUUCAGUCAGAGGCUUCUUCAGCACCACUGUAAAACGGACUGCUAUAGGAGAUUCUUCCUGCCCAUAGCCAUCAGGGUCUACAAUGACUCUUUGAAGAACCUUUGAUAAUAUCAGUUACAUUUAAUUUCCCUUUUAGAUUAGUAAAGUAUUUUUGAACUGAACUGAAUUUUCACUUUAAGUUAAUUGUUGGUAAAUCACAUGAAAUCAUAGAAUAAUACAUUGACGUUUGCCGUUGUGACAUGACACAAUGCUAAAAAUCAAGAGGUAUAAUAACUUAAUAUCCUUUCAUCAUCUGCCCAUCCGGGGAUUUUUGAACUGCAGGUAAUGUUUGAGAUAAUUUACAAAAAUUAAAACCUACAAGGAAAGCCCACAGGAAUAAAAUGAUAAGAGUGUUUUGUCUGUCAGCACCCUCUGAUGGGCUCCGAUAGCGACAGUGGGGACAGAGGAACCCUCAGAUUAACCCUGAGUUUACGUUGUUGUUUUGAUGUUGUCACAUCCUCCUGUUGGAAAUCCUUACACGCAGAUUGUACUUCAUGGAAACAGGAACAUCAAGGGAGGCAACAAAGAGGCAGCGCGGAGUUACUUUCACUUUAAGUAGAGCAAGUCAAUCCUCGUCUAUGUUGGCUCUGCUCUUCAGUGUUUUCUGUCAAAGAAUUCCCAUCUAAGCUGCCCCGUCUUUUUGGGAGAGCAAUUUUGCUUUCCCAGAGAUACAGCAAGCUGUCCUCUGUCUGUCAGUCGCAACAUCAAGCACGUCCAGUGAACUGGCCCUGUUCUCCCAAGAAACUGAGUCCAAAGAUGGGCGUCUUGCCAUCUUGGACUCAAUCUGUAUCCACAGCUGCAUGCAGACAGAUCGCCCUAACAAUCGCGUCCAGUCAUUAAAGCCAAUUUUAUCUCUGACAAAAGAGAAAAAAGGAAAGUAGGGGAAGUUUUGGGGAGGCAAUUAAUAUUCCUAAAGAAACAGAAAUCUCCUUGAAGGAGUUCUCAAUAAACCCUCUCCCUGCAAAUAUUAUCCUAUGGCAGAUGAAUGAUGGCGCUUGUAUAGAGUAAAGCGUCUUGUUACAGCGGGAGAAGUAUGCGGCCCGUCAUGGAUGAGACUCAAGAAUUGAUAGCAGCUCAUAUCACAUUCAAGAAAUCUGGGUUUGCUUUCUUCUGGCUAUGCCGGGUAUGCUCUGCGCGAGCCAAAACGUAUCCAACCUUUUACAUCCCAUAAUGAAACCAUGCCCGCUAUCUGCAGGAGCAUAUCAGGCGUUUCAAUACCAUUUUGUUGUUGCACAUGAUGUGAUUGAAACAAAUGUGUGAAGGAAAACAGAGCUUCACUGCUAAUACAGUCUGUUUCUGUGUUUUCUGAUGGAUCAACGAAGCAGGACACGCAGCUUCAAAGCUUUAUCAGGACCGCGGUUUUGUUGAUAAUCAUCAAAAAAUGCUAAUGACAAUCUGACUGCUACGUGCAUCUUUGAAGCGCCAGAUAUUGGGCGUUAUUGCUGUCUGGGCCUAUUCAAUGUCCAGUUCUCAAUCUAAAUAGCACUAAUAACAAGCAGCUGCACACCGCUUUCGAGUGCAUCAAAUGUGUGUAAUCUUUACACGUCUUUUGUCUUUUUCUGACAAAAAGAUCCAAUAUUUUGCCACAAUGCAGGCUUCAAGUCCAACUCGGAAACUCUCAAAACAUUUCUUACUAUGUAAGAGGAAUUAUGUUAGAAACUGAAUUUCAAUUCAUUAUAAUUUAUAUAAUUCACUGCACCAUUGUGUGCAAUCUUUUUUUUUUAUCACAGCUACGUUCAUAAACCGCUAGUUCUAAAACACAGAACAUAUAAAAAACUGGUACAACAGGAUUUUAUGUAAUGUUCUACUUAUAGAUUAUUUCACUUGAAAUAAAGACCUUUUUUUCUGGAUGACUAGAUGAAUUUGGCCUUCUUGCUGUUUUAUUGUGUAAGGCAGCAGCUAAGCAAUAAUUUUACAACAUUUUUACACCUUUUAAGAAACUUUUUCCCUCAAAUUGCCAUCCACUGAGACACCAUUUGUUUUGCAGAGCAGUUUAAUUGGCAAUAUAUAUUUUAGCUCGUCUCUUGUAAUUUAGAUUAUGUGCAAACUGUGGUUUGGUUCUGUUCUGUAGUUGAAAACACAAUAUAUUUCUUUUUUACACAAGUCCCAUUGUGUCAGCUUUAACAAUUUCUACCUGUAUAAUUAACGGGGGUCUAACCUUUCAGAACUAUCCAAUCAAUUAAACACUAUUCCACUAAGUAGUUAAGUAAUCGCAGCUAAAUGCCCACUCAAAUGUUUUUUUUUUUUUAAAUUCUUUACUCUUUCUGUGUGUAUAUUUUUGUAUUCUAUCUUUGUGUGGGUCUAUUUGCUGUUAUUGCCUGUCACUUUGCUUCUGUUGCACACAAAUUUCCCCAUUGUGGGACAAUAGAGGAUAUUUCUACUCUUGCAAUAAUUUGAGUUUUUUAAAAAUAGUUAUAUUUACUGCAGUUUAAUCGUAAUAUUGUAGGAAUAAUAAAGCUUGGUGUGAAGCCUU